Molecule: ribosomal RNA, 430 nt
Filed under: uncultured bacterium
Lineage: Bacteria
Description: partial 16S ribosomal RNA
Rfam family: Bacterial small subunit ribosomal RNA
Source: RNAcentral
GAACGCUGGCGGCAUGCCUAACACAUGCAAGUCGAACGAGACCUUCGGGUCUAGUGGCGCACGGGUGCGUAACGCGUGGGAACCUGCCCUUAGGUUCGGAAUAACUCCCCGAAAGGGGUGCUAAUACCGGAUAAUGUCUUCGGACCAAAGAUUUAUCGCCUUUGGAUGGGCCCGCGUUGGAUUAGCUAGUUGGUAGGGUAAAAGCCUACCAAGGCGACGAUCCAUAGCUGGUCUGAGAGGAUGAUCAGCCACACCGGGACUGAGACACGGCCCAGACUCCUACGGGAGGCAGCAGUGGGGAAUAUUGGACAAUGGGCGAAAGCCUGAUCCAGCAAUGCCGCGUGAGUGAUGAAGGCCUUAGGGUUGUAAAGCUCUUUUACCCGGGAUGAUAAUGACAGUACCGGGAGAAUAAGCUCCGGCUAACUCCGUG